Molecule: non-coding RNA, 63 nt
Filed under: uncultured Anaerosacchariphilus sp.
Lineage: Bacteria; Bacillati; Bacillota; Clostridia; Lachnospirales; Lachnospiraceae
Description: Cyclic di-GMP-I riboswitch
Rfam family: c-di-GMP-I riboswitch aptamer
About the family: GEMM was predicted in a large-scale screen for bacterial structured RNA regulatory elements. Genes associated with GEMM are involved in a diverse array of functions, including chemotaxis regulation, signal transduction, secretion and chitin.
Source: RNAcentral
CGGCAAACCAGAUGAAAGUCUGGGACGCAAAGCUACAGGGCCUGUAAAAUGGCAGCCAGUUGC